CCCACAGAGCUGCUCGUGCUGUGGAUUUAAGGGUGGCAAUAAAAAGCAUCACACUCACGCACAACCCGGGAUAAAUUUAGCUCUGAGGCCCCUGCACAUCGUCACCGGACUGCGUGUGCCUCGGGGCCGUACCCGGUCUCCGUUAAACCUCCCGACACAGGCACAUCGAACGCGCCGAUCCUCCCCUAAAUGCUGUGUGCAGACAUCGUGCCUGCCUCGGGCUGCCUCUCUCCUGCCCCAAAUCAGCCCGGCUGCAGGGCAGGGCCCGGUGCUUCACCCUUCCCUGGUCCUGGCCUAGGAGCAAUAGGGUCACGUUGGAGCCUUUCUUUUAACAAAAAGCCUCUUUUUUCCUGAAAUCUGUCCAGGCUCCUUCCACAGAUGGUCCCAGUGCUUCGUGCUCUGCCACCUCCCUGCUCUUCUCCCCUCUCGGGUCAGGGGUUCAGGCCCCUCUCCGCUUGCAGGUGUGACCGAUGAGGCAGCAGCUGCUGGGGAUUUGGGCAGGACAGGCAGCCUCCAGCUGGGCUCAUCCAAGGCAGCGACCCUCAGGGAGGGAGGUGGCACUGCUGGGAGCAGCAGCACUGGGGAACACCUGAGCUUUCCCUGGCAUUUUGCUUUGGUGCCGGCAGCCUGGUAGCACGCGCAUCUCAGCUCCCCUUUCCCCAUCCACCACAGAGCACCAGAAAGCCCUCAGAAAUCCCUGGCGGUUGGAGGAGAACGUUUAAAGUUGUGGUGUCAAAAGGACCUGAAACCAACCCCAGCUCAUCCCUGCCCAGUUCAGAGGAAAACUCGUGGCUGCUGGGAGGGAGAAUAAAAGGCAGCCCUGAAGGCGAGGAAGAGCUGAUGCUCAGACAAGGAUUAGCUGGCUCCUAGCUUGCACGGUCACCACGCUGCCUGACAUCCCCUGCGUUUCUUCCCAUCAGAGUGAGAAGGUGAACACAGCCUGGGAUGCAGAGCUGCUGGUGACUCAAAAGGAGAGGCUGAAAUCAGCUGAGAGCUGGUUGCUGUCCAAAAAGCCCAGGACAAGCUG
This 1027-nucleotide long non-coding RNA is filed under the name Anas zonorhyncha (Eastern spot-billed duck). RNAcentral's name for it is "lncRNA (ENSAZOG00000010660.1)". The record is from RNAcentral. Lineage: Eukaryota; Metazoa; Chordata; Aves; Anseriformes; Anatidae.